CCUACGGGAGGCAGCAGUAAGGAAUAUUGGUCAAUGGAGGCAACUCUGAACCAGCCAUGCCGCGUGCAGGAAGACUGCCCUAUGGGUUGUAAACUGCUUUUAUCCGGGAAUAAACCUGCUUACGUGUAAGUAGCUGAAUGUACCGGAAGAAUAAGGAUCGGCUAACUCCGUGCCAGCAGCCGCGGUAAUACGGAGGAUCCAAGCGUUAUCCGGAUUUAUUGGGUUUAAAGGGUGCGUAGGCGGCCUGUUAAGUCAGGGGUGAAAGACGGUAGCUCAACUAUCGCAGUGCCCUUGAUACUGAUGGGCUUGAAUGGACUAGAGGUAGGCGGAAUGAGACAAGUAGCGGUGAAAUGCAUAGAUAUGUCUCAGAACACCGAUUGCGAAGGCAGCUUACUAUGGUCUUAUUGACGCUGAGGCACGAAAGCGUGGGGAUCAAACAGGAUUAGAUACCCUGGUAGUCCACGCCCUAAACGAUGAACACUCGCUGUUGGCGAUACACAGUCAGCGGCUAAGCGAAAGCGUUAAAGUGUUCCACCUGGGGAGUACGCCCGCAAGGGUGAAACGUCAAAGGAAUUGACGG
This 580-nucleotide ribosomal RNA is filed under the name uncultured bacterium. RNAcentral's name for it is "bacterial SSU rRNA". It matches the Rfam family "Bacterial small subunit ribosomal RNA", at positions 338 to 916 of the family's 1533-position model. The record is from RNAcentral.